UACGUAGGGUCCAAGCGUUGUUCGGAAUUACUGGGCGUAAAGCGCGCGUAGGCGGGUUUGCAAGUCGAUUGUGAAAGCCCUGGGCUCAACCCGGGAUGUGCAGUCGAAACUGUAAAUCUUGAGUGCCUGAGAGGAUGGCGGAAUUCCCGGUGUAGUAGUGAAAUACGUAGAUAUCGGGAAGAACACCUGAGGCGAAGGCGGCUAUCUGGCGGUGCACUGACGCUGAGGCGCGAAAGCGUGGGGAGCAAACAGG
Molecule: ribosomal RNA, 253 nt
Filed under: uncultured bacterium
Lineage: Bacteria
Description: partial 16S ribosomal RNA
Rfam family: Bacterial small subunit ribosomal RNA
Source: RNAcentral